This 393-nucleotide ribosomal RNA is filed under the name Pseudois nayaur (bharal). Its description in RNAcentral is "partial 12S ribosomal RNA". It matches the Rfam family "Bacterial small subunit ribosomal RNA", at positions 794 to 1384 of the family's 1533-position model. Lineage: Eukaryota; Metazoa; Chordata; Mammalia; Artiodactyla; Bovidae. The record is from RNAcentral.
GCCUAGCCCUAAACAUAAAUAAUUACAAAAACAAAAUUAUUCGCCAGAGUACUACCGGCAACAGCCCGAAACUCAAAGGACUUGGCGGUGCUUUAUACCCUUCUAGAGGAGCCUGUUCUAUAAUCGAUAAACCCCGAUAAACCUCUCCAAUCCUUGCUAAUACAGUCUAUAUACCGCCAUCUUCAGCAAACCCUAAAAAGGAACAAAAGUAAGCUCAAUCACAACACAUAAAGACGUUAGGUCAAGGUGUAACCCAUGGAAUGGGAAGAAAUGGGCUACAUUUUCUACCUUAAGAAAAUUAAUACGAAAGCCAUUAUGAAAUUAAUGACCAAAGGAGGAUUUAGUAGUAAACUAAGAAUAGAGUGCUUAGUUGAUUUAGGCCAUGAAGCAUUA